CCUACGGGUGGCAGCAGUGAGGAAUAUUGGUCAAUGGUCGGGAGACUGAACCAGCCAAGCCGCGUGCGGGAUGAAGGUACAGAGUAUCGUAAACCUCUUUUGUCAGGGAACAAAGGCGGGGACGUGUCCCCGGAUGAGUGUACCUGAAGAAAAAGCAUCGGCUAACUCCGUGCCAGCAGCCGCGGUAAUACGGAGGUUGCGAGCGUUAUCCGGAUUUAUUGGGUUUAAAGGGUGAGCAGGCGGUCUGUUAAGUCAGCGGUAAAAUUGAGAGGCUCAACCUCUUCGAGCCGUUGAAACGGGUUGUCUUGAGUGAGUGAGAGGUAGGCGGAAUGCGUGGUGUAGCGGUGAAAUGCAUAGAUAUCACGCAGAACUCCGAUUGCGAAGGCAGCAUACCGGCGCUCAACUGACGCUCAUGCACGAAAGUGUGGGUAUCGAACAGGAUUAGAUACCCGAGUAGUC
Molecule: ribosomal RNA, 459 nt
Filed under: uncultured bacterium
Lineage: Bacteria
Description: partial 16S ribosomal RNA
Rfam family: Bacterial small subunit ribosomal RNA
Source: RNAcentral